Small nuclear RNA from Peromyscus leucopus (white-footed mouse), 109 nucleotides. Lineage: Eukaryota; Metazoa; Chordata; Mammalia; Rodentia; Cricetidae. The record is from RefSeq and is a predicted model, not a curated record.
GCUAAAAUUGGAAUUGGCUUUGGCAACUAAAAUUGGAAUGACACAGAGAAGAUUAGCAUGGCCCCUGGACAAGGAUGACAUGCAAAUGUGUGAAGUGUUCCAUAUUUUU